Molecule: RNA transcript, 2735 nt
Organism: Colius striatus (speckled mousebird)
Lineage: Eukaryota; Metazoa; Chordata; Aves; Coliiformes; Coliidae
Gene: VIPAS39
Gene name: VPS33B interacting protein, apical-basolateral polarity regulator, spe-39 homolog
Exons: 19
Source: RefSeq, a predicted model, not a curated record
AGCCCUGGCGCGGCAAUCAGCCACCGGCGCGGCAAUCAGCAACCGGCGCGGGACGCUGGUACUUGUAGUCCGUCCCGCGCGUGGCGCAGUGUGGCGGCGCGACCGUGAGACUACUUGUCCCGGCGUGCCCCGCGCCGCCGGCAGUCCGUGCGUCCCCGGCGCGCUCUGUCGCUGCCUGGCGCGGGGAGGUGAGCGGGGCCGCGGCUGUGGGGCCCGGGGUGGCGGCGGUGGUUCCGCUCGGGCAGCCGCUGGCCUGAGGCGCUCGCACCGUGCCGUUGCAGAUGAGCAGGGCGCGAGCGGACGAGGAGGAGUACUGGCACAGCUCCAAGUUCCGGGCCUUCACCUUCGACGACGAGGAUGACGAGCUCUCCCAGCUAAAGGAAUCCAAGCGGGCAGUGAAUAGCCUUCGGGAUAUUGUUGAUGAUGACGAUGACGACCUUGAGAGGGUCAGCUGGAGUGGAGAACCCGUGGGAAGUAUCUCCUGGUCAAUCAAAGAGACAGCCUCCAGCAGCACUAGCUCAUUGGAGGGCCGAGACUCCAGCCUACAGAAGGGCUCUUCCUCCUAUGUUGCUGCUUUGCCCAAGCAAGUUUCCUCCUACUCUCUGAGCAACCUAUUCAAAGGACGAAACAAGCUUCCAAGUUUCCAGUCCCUCUCAGAUGCCCUUUCUGACACGGGAGUGAAAAGCUACGCCCCAGAGCUGCGCAGACCAAAAGCUGAGUACAAGGAUUACAGCAAUGAUUGGAGCCCAAAAGAUACAGUCAGGCGAAUGCAGAGGGGCAAGGUCUGCUCUCUAGAGAGAUUUCGCUCCCUCCAGGACAAGCUGGUGCUCUUGGAUGAAGCUGUGGCAGGGCACGAUGGGAAUGUCAUUACAGCUGUCCUGAUAUUCCUGAAGCGGACACUGAGGAGAGAGAUCUUGUUUCGGGAGCUGGAGGUGCGGCAGGUGGCCUUAUGUCACCUGAUCCAUUUCCUCAAGGAGACGGGUGAGCAGAAGAUGCUGGUGGACCUGCUGAGGUUCCUGGACAGGACAGAGGAAGUCGCUCUGUCCCAGUACCGGGAGCAUUUGAACAUCCAGGAUGUAGAAAAAAAGAGGGAAUUUCUGAAAGGCUGCAUUGGGUUGCCGUUUUCGGCUGAGGAUACCUCCCACAUCCAAGACCAUUAUACCCUGUUGGAGAGACAGAUCAUCAUUGAGGCCAACGACCGACACUUGGAGACGGCUGGGCAGGCAGAGGUAUUUCGCAAAUAUCCUCGCAAGGCCUCAAUUCUCAACAUGCCACUAGUGACCACUCUCUUCUAUUCCUGUUUCUACCACUACACAGAGGCUGAGGGAACAUUCAGCAGCCCGAUCAACCUGAAGAAGACGUUUAAGAUUCCUGAUAAGCAGUAUGUGCUGACUGCCCUGGCUGCACGUGCCAAGCUGCGAGCCUGGGAUGAUGUGGAUGCCCUCUUCACCACCAAGAACUGGCUGGGCUAUACUAAGAAGAAGGCACCUAUUGGCUUCCACCGAGUAGUGGAGGUUUUGCAGAGGAACAAUGCUCCUGUGCAGGUGCUGCAGGAGUAUGUGCGGCUCGUGGAGGAUGUAGAGACGCGACUGAACCUCGCCACCAAGUACAAGUGCCACGAUGUUGCUAUUGAGCUAGGUGGUGGUUUUGCUGUUUGUCUAGACAUACAGGGAUCUAAAGGAUCGCAUCCAGCUGACAGCGUAUAAAUGCAAGGUGGAGCGAGGCUCUGCAGAAGAGGAGAAGAUAAACAGCAUCCUCAAUAACGCGCAAAUCCGAUGGAAGAACUGAGCACCUGUGAAGCAGCCUGCUUGGCCAUUGCCUUGCCAGUGAAAGAGGAAAUUGCAAAACCCAGUCCAGUGCCAACAGAGCGGUACUGUUACUACUUAUUGCAUGAUCAACGUUUGUCAGUGACAGUGGGUGCCCUUGGCUUGUGGGACAGUGGCAGUCAGGCUGGCUGAAGGCAGCUGCUCCAAUGUAGCCAGUGAAACCAUGGUCCCAAAUCCUCCCCCCAGGGUUGGUUCUUUUUGGAAUCUGGUUCUCUAUGACCUGGCUGUAAGCCAGGCAGCACUUUUGUUUACGGAGGAAAGUUGCUGGGCACAACAAGGUUGUGUUUGCUCCAGGUGGUGCCUAGGCUUGUCCUCGCAAGAGGAACAGGUCAGUCACACUCAUGGGUCUUUCCACCAGACAAUGCUGACCUGUCCCUGUAACACUCAAGCUGGCUUGAGUACUGCCUGUCAUGGCUGUGGCUGGAGUAAAGCCUCCUGAACUGUGUUCUUCCUGCAUCAAAGAGGGUCUUGAGGGAAAGGACCAACUGCACCUUAAAGCUCUUUCUUUUGUCAGUGUGUUCUGGCUCACCCUAGGAAAGAGGUGUUGCCUCUUUCCUAGGGCAACUGCUGCCAAGAGCCAGGACAGCACCCUCUGCCAGUAUUCUUGUGCUGGCACUCUGCAGCUCCUGGAAGAUCGCUUUAUCAGGGAAGAACACAGACCUAGUGUGGAGCUGGUCAGAGUCCUCCUGGGCUGGAUGGAAAGCAAGGAGGGACCCCUCUCUGCGCAAAACCAGCAGCUGGUCCCAGCAGCUCAUUUCUCUGAGAGUGUUUAUGCCAGGAGGGACUGAAUUGCACUUUCUUGGAAACACAACUCCUCAGGCAACGGCUGGCUUCAUCCUUCCAGACCUCACUUUGGUUCCUUAAAUAAAGCUGUCUCUUUCUUCUUGGGCUAUUUCCUUCCUUCCCUGA